Molecule: ribosomal RNA, 884 nt
Filed under: uncultured Lactobacillales bacterium
Lineage: Bacteria; Bacillati; Bacillota; Bacilli; Lactobacillales
Description: partial 16S ribosomal RNA
Rfam family: Bacterial small subunit ribosomal RNA (bases 1-499)
Source: RNAcentral
GAUGAACGCUGACAGAAUGCUUAACACAUGCAAGUCUUUGGCGAAGCUGUGCUUGCACAGCCUAGCCAGGCGGACGGGUGAGUAACGCGUAAGGGACUUGCCCUGCAGUCAGGGAUAACAGACGGAAACGACUGAUAAGACCUGGUAAAGUCAGGCGGACUCAUGUCCAGCCUGAUGAAAAGGAAUGCUGCAUGAGAGCCUUGCGUCCUAUUAGCUUGUUGGUGGGGUAACGGCCCACCAAGGCGAUGAUAGGUAGCCGGCCUGAGAGGGUGGACGGCCACAAGGGGACUGAGAUACUGCCCUUACUCCUACGGGAGGCAGCAGUGGGGAAUAUUGGACAAUGGGGGCAACCCUGAUCCAGCAAUUCUGUGUGCACGAGGAAGGUCUUCGGUGUGUAAAGUGCUUUCUGCUGGGAAAAAAAUAAUGACUGUACCAACGGAUGAGGUGACGGCUAAUUACGUGCCAUCAUCCGCGGUUAUACGUUUUUCGCGAGUUUAUUUUGUUUAUUGGGGGGAUGGGCGUUUAGGUGGUUUUGUAGUCUGAUGUGAAAUGGGUGGGCUAGUCUGUGUUUUUUGUGUGGAUUUUGUUUUGUUGAAUUGUGUUGGAUGUGUAGCUUAACUUGUGUUUUAUGUUGUAAUGUCGUUGUGUUUUGGUGCUUGCCGAUGGGGAUGUGCCUUUAGUGCAUCUGAUUUUUUUGAAAGUGUGAAUCUUUUUUUGUUGUGUGAUUAUUUCCUUGGAGCUUGCGUGGCGGUGUCCCUCCUGUGAUUUAUUUUUUGUUGUGUGGUGGCUGUGGGGUGGAUGACUAUAUAUAAUAUGAUUUUUGUUGUGUGUGUGUGAUGCUUGUUGUUGGGUGUGUUUGUGUGUGUGUGUGCUGUGUUGCUGUA